GCGGGCAUGGCGGAAUUGGCAGACGCGCAGGAUUUAGGUUCCUGUGGAGACUCCGUGUGGGUUCAAGUCCCACUGCCCGCACCA
Molecule: transfer RNA, 84 nt
Filed under: Candidatus Scatomorpha merdipullorum
Lineage: Bacteria; Bacillati; Bacillota; Clostridia; Eubacteriales
Description: tRNA-Leu
Rfam family: tRNA
About the family: Transfer RNA (tRNA) molecules are approximately 80 nucleotides in length. Their secondary structure includes four short double-helical elements and three loops (D, anti-codon, and T loops). Further hydrogen bonds mediate the characteristic L-shaped molecular structure. tRNAs have two regions of fundamental functional importance: the anti-codon, which is responsible for specific mRNA codon recognition, and the 3' end, to which the tRNAs corresponding amino acid is attached (by aminoacyl-tRNA synthetases). tRNAs cope with the degeneracy of the genetic code in two manners: having more than one tRNA (with a specific anti-codon) for a particular amino acid; and 'wobble' base-pairing, i.e. permitting non-standard base-pairing at the 3rd anti-codon position.
Source: RNAcentral